Molecule: long non-coding RNA, 1059 nt
Organism: Cryptotermes secundus
Lineage: Eukaryota; Metazoa; Arthropoda; Insecta; Blattodea; Kalotermitidae
Exons: 4
Source: RefSeq, a predicted model, not a curated record
CCGGCAUCUCUGACAAAGAAGGGAAGAAAGAAAAGGAAUUCCAAGAUGUCUGCUAACCUGUGGCCGUAGUACGAGAGAAAGCAGCAGACGCUGUGGCAACAAGAUUUCACUCAGACAAAAAAUAAAGGCUAUUGGAAUUCAAUGCCGACCACCUUCAGAACUCUCCGGGAAAAAGGAAAACAAGGAGAAGGGAUUUCAAUCGGAUCUCGCAGUUCAUGAUGGUACGAAUGGUGACUCUGUGGAAUGACACCAUGUAGUCUGACAGAUGGUUACCAACGUGCCGGAGGACGAUGCUGCGUCAAGAUCUUCACUCUGAACACGUUGGCAACAUGUUCCUCCGUAGUUUUUUUUUUUUUGAGUGGGGUGAGACUGAAUCUACUUGGAAGAAUGCAGUAAAUCGUGCAGCUGUUCCUGUCAGAAAUGGCGGAUAAACCCUACAUGAACCUGGAGUCUCACCGCCCCUCCGAGAACAUUUCUUCAACGUAAAAUCACCGUGAAGUAUUCAAUUAUAUAAAUUUUUAUUCCCCAAAUAUGCAUAGGAUUACACGACUGUAUCAUCAUGUAAAACAGCCUAACAAUUUUCAAUCGUAAUUUUAAGAGAAUCAUUUCCCAUUUACAGUACAGUCUUCUGUGUUGCAACGCCAUGUAGUUUAAUGUUUUGGAUAAUCAUAUCUCCUCCUUCUUCAGGUCCGAAGAGUAAGAAAGAGCCGAGCAAGAAACCCGCAGGGUCAGGCAGCAAGCUGGGUUCACGUCCUGCUUCUUGUCGCUUCUUUCUUCGCUUAGUAUUCGACUGUGACAACGCAGGUGAAGGGGCCCUCCGAACCUCAGAUUUCUCUCCGAACUACCCAGAAUUAUGACUCAGAUGAUCGCACUUUUCAUAAGCACAGCAUGGAGAAACUUAAAUCCAUAAUAUCUCAUUUAUUUCUGUCAGAGAACGCCAGUCAAUUUAAGAAUUUAGUUAAUUUCUUAUAAUCUAUAGAGCAACUCUUUCAUAAAUUAAAUAGAUAAAAAGGUAAAGUUGUCUCUAUGCUUAACUAAUUAAGCACUACAACAUGAAGA